GAUUCAACGUGCUACCAUGUUGGCGGAUCAUGAGGUGGAGUGGAUCUGGUGGGUCGAUUCAGAUGCAAUCUUCACAGACAUGGAGUUCAAGCUCCUACUAGAGAGAUAUAAAGACCAUAACCUAGUUGUGCAUGGCUGGUGGCAUCUGAUAUACAAAGAGCAAAGCUGGACAUGUCUCAAUGUGGGGGUGUUCCUGAUACGAAACUGCCAGUGGUCCAUGAACCUCAUAGAUGCAUGAACCAGCAUGGGGCCACAGAGCCCAGAUUAUGGAAGAUGGGACCGAAUCCAAAAGUCAAUGUUCAAAGACAAGUUAUUUCCGCAGUCAGACAAUCAAUUGGCUCCAAUUUAUCUUCUAAUAGAAUAGAAAGAAAAGCGGGCAGACAAGACUUAUUUACAGAAUGAGUACAGCCUCCAUGGGUACUGGUUGGGAACAGUGGAUGGUCUUGACAACAUCACCAAAAGGUACAUGGAGAUCGAUAGAGAGGUGGUAAUGUUGAGGAGGAGACACGCAUAGAAGGUGAGCUUGUUCUAUGGAACGAUCAGAUAGCAAUAUCUGAAGAACAAGGGCUAAUGGAAGGAUAAACUCAGAAGGCCUUUGUCACGUACUUCACAUAAACUCAGAAGGCCCUUUGUCACGCACUUCAC
Prunus mume (Japanese apricot) is the source of this 645-nucleotide non-coding RNA. Lineage: Eukaryota; Viridiplantae; Streptophyta; Magnoliopsida; Rosales; Rosaceae. The record is from RefSeq and is a predicted model, not a curated record.